CCUACGGGGAGCAGCAGUGAGGAAUAUUGGUCAAUGGACGAGAGUCUGAACCAGCCAAGUAGCGUGAAGGAUGACUGCCCUAUGGGUUGUAAACUUCUUUUAUAUGGGAAUAAAAUGUUCCACGUGUGGGAUUUUGUAUGUACCAUAUGAAUAAGGAUAGGCUAACUCCGUGCCAGCAGCCGCGGUAAUACGGAGGAUCCGAGCGUUAUCCGGAUUUAUUGGGUUUAAAGGGAGCGUAGGUGGAUUGUUAAGUCAGUUGUGAAAGUUUGCGGCUCAACCGUAAAAUUGCAGUUGAAACUGGCAGUCUUGAGUACAGUAGAGGUGGGCGGAAUGCGUGGUGUAGCGGUGAAAUGCUUAGAUAUCACGAAGAACUCCGAUUGCGAAGGCAGUUCACUGGACUGCAACUGACACUGAGGCUCGAAAGUGUGGGUAUCAAACAGGAUUAGAUACCCGGGUAGUC
Molecule: ribosomal RNA, 460 nt
Filed under: uncultured bacterium
Lineage: Bacteria
Description: partial 16S ribosomal RNA
Rfam family: Bacterial small subunit ribosomal RNA
Source: RNAcentral